UAGUCAUAUGCUUGUCUCAAAGAUUAAGCCAUGCAUGUGUCAGUACAGGCCGUUCUAAGGCUAAACCGCGAAUGGCUCAUUAAAUCAGUUAUGGUACAUUUGAUCAAAGACCCAUUACUUGGAUAACCCUGGUAAUUCUAGAGCUAAUACGUGACCACGACAACUCCGACUGCAAGGGAGGAGUGCUUUUAUUAGAGUAAAACCAAUCGGGCCCCGGUCCGUCAAUGGUGUGUUGAUUCUGAGUAACUUUGUGCCGAGAGCACGGCCUCCGCGCCGGCUCCGUAUCUUUCGAGUUUCUGCCUUAUCAUGCUGUGGACUGUAGGUCAUGUGCCUACAGUGGCUUUUACGGGUGACGGAGAAUCAGGGUUCGAUUCCGGAGAGGGAGCCUGAGAAACGGCUACCACAUCCAAGGAAGGCAGCAGGCACGCAAAUUACCCAAUCCCAGCCCGGGGAGGUAGUGACGAAAAAUAACAAUGCGGGACUCUUCCGAGUCUGCGUAAUUGGAAUGAGAACACUUUAAAUCCUUUACCGACAACCAAUUGGAGGGCAAGUCUGGUGCCAGCAGCCGCGGUAAUUCCAGCUCCAAUAGCGUAUAUUAAAGUUGUUGCA
Molecule: ribosomal RNA, 609 nt
Filed under: Exhippolysmata oplophoroides (redleg humpback shrimp)
Lineage: Eukaryota; Metazoa; Arthropoda; Malacostraca; Decapoda; Hippolytidae
Description: SSU rRNA
Rfam family: Eukaryotic small subunit ribosomal RNA
Source: RNAcentral